This is a long non-coding RNA of Vidua chalybeata, 1268 nucleotides long. RefSeq lists it as uncharacterized. The record is from RefSeq and is a predicted model, not a curated record. NCBI's taxonomy places the organism in Eukaryota, Metazoa, Chordata, Aves, Passeriformes, Viduidae. The transcript has 2 exons.
GACCCCCGCGCCGGCCCCGCUGGUCCCGGCUGCCCCGCCGCCUCCCGCGGCUUUCGCCGGGUCGCCAGGCGCUGCCAACAGCAACAGCAGCGAGCAGCAGCAGCCCGGGGCCGCGUUGGAGCGGACCCCGCCGACUCCAAUCAGCCCGGGGUCCCCUCCCAGCCUGUUCUCUGCUGCUGCCGCUCCUCGGCAGCUCCUUGCAGCUGCCGCGAAAGUGAAAUUGUUUUGUUUCAGGAUUCAGCAGUUCUCUGUUUCAGCAUUGAGAAGGACUUUUGAGGAUGUCAAGAUCAACGUUUCCAAUCAAUGGACACCUUCUCCUGAGAAUCAGCUGUUUGGACUUUGAAAUUUGAGCAUUCUUUUAAUUGUUGUUUGGGUUUUUAUGUUGUAAGUUUUGUUUUAGAGAUUUGAUAGAUGGUUUGCAGGUAAAGGAUCUCUUUGAACAUUCCACAUCAGCAUUUGAUUUGGCUUUUGAUUGAUAACUAGCAAAUUGAUAAGGGGACCUCUUGAGAUGUGUUUGCUCUCUUUUGCAGGGCCCUGCAGAAGAAUUGCAGAUGCAGUUUUUUUAUUUUAUUUUUUUUAAUUUAUACUAAAACGGUGAUAUGUGGCAAGCACAUUUCUCUCUCUCUCAGGAUUUUUUUAUGGAGGUGUACAGAGAGAAAUGAAAGAGAAAACAAUUUCUAUUUCUGCUCCUUGUUUUUCUCUUUCAUUUCUCUCUGUGCACCUCAAUAAAAAAUCCUGAGAGAGAGAGAGAAAUGUGCUUGCCACAAUCUGCCUCAUGACCACUGUGAUGGACAGAGAUUGAAGCCCCUCCCAAGGACUGAGACUGAGACCCCUACCACAGGGAGGAGGGCUGGCCUGAUCAAUGGGAGAUGUUUGCCCAGGUGUGGUUGAUGGACCAAGAAGACAACGGCUCUCGCUCACGGCUGAUAACAUGACCUGUUCCCCCUCAGUGGCUUCAGUGGACUUAUUCUUCAUUGUACCUGUUCCCCCUCAACGUUUUCAAUGGACUUUCAUUGUCUUUUGCCCAUUCCCCCCAUUCUCAGGGGAAGACCCCUGAGAUAACCAAGAUUUUCAGGUUCUCCCCAAUGCGACAAGACAGAUCUCCAUUGUUCAGACCAGUGAGGAUUUUGUCUGCUUUGCUACCUAUAGUCCCCUUUCCCCUCCUUUUCUUUCUAUCCUUUAUUUCCUUUCUGUCCCCUCUAUUGCAUUUGUUGUUUGCACUCUAUAAUAAAGGUGCAUUUGUUGUGAUUAAACUGAUGGCCUUCUGA